AAUAGAUACCCGGUAGUCCACGCCGUAAACGAUGAGUGCUAGGUGUUGGGGGACUAGCGCCCUCAGUGCCGAAGGAAACCCAAUAAGCACUCCGCCCGGGGAGUACGGCCGCAAGGCUGAAACUCAAAGGAAUUGACGGGGGCCCGCACAAGCGGUGGAGCAUGUGGUUUAAUUCGAUGCAACGCGAAGAACCUUACCAGGGCUUGACAUCCCGCUGAAGGCGCCAGAGAUGGCGCUGUCCUUCGGGACAGCGGUGACAGGUGGUGCAUGGUUGUCGUCAGCUCGUGUCGUGAGAUGUUGGGUUCAGUCCCGCAACGAGCGCAACCCUUAUCUUUAGUUGCCAGCAUUCAGUUGGGCACUCUAGAGGGACAGCCGGUGAAAGCCGGAGGAAGGUGGGGAUGACGUCAAAUCAUCAUGCCCCUUAUGUCCUGGGCUACACACGUGCUACAAUGGCUGGUACAAUGGGUCGCGAAACCGCGAGGUGGAGCCAAUCCCACAAAGCCAGUCUCAGUUCGGAUCGCG
Molecule: ribosomal RNA, 522 nt
Filed under: uncultured bacterium
Lineage: Bacteria
Description: bacterial SSU rRNA
Rfam family: Bacterial small subunit ribosomal RNA
Source: RNAcentral